UUUGUGGUUCUAUUUUGUUGGUUUCUAGGACCACCGUAAUGAUUAAUAGGGAUAGUUGGGGGCAUUAGUAUUCAAUUGUCAGAGGUGAAAUUCUUGGAUUUAUUGAAGACUAACUACUGCGAAAGCAUUUGCCAAGGAUGUUUUCAUUAAUCAAGAACGAAAGUUAGGGGAUCGAAGACGAUUAGAUACCGUCGUAGUCUUAACCAUAAACUAUGCCGACUAGGGAUCGGGCGCAGUUUCAAAUGACUCGCUCGGCACCUUAAGAGAAAUCAAAGUUUUUGGGUUCUGGGGGGAGUAUGGUCGCAAGGCUGAAACUUAAAGGAAUUGACGGAAGGGCACCACCAGGAGUGGAGCCUGCGGCUUAAUUUGACUCAACACGGGGAAACUCACCAGGUCCAGACACAGUAAGGAUUGACAGAUUGAGAGCUCUUUCUUGAUUCUGUGAUUGGUGGUGCAUGGCCGUUCUUAGUUGGUGGAGUGAUUUGUCUGCCUAAUCGCGAUAACGAACGAGACCCUUACCUGCUAAAUAGUCAACUCGGCCCCGGCCGAGACCUUUUGGUUAUGACUUCUUAGAGGGACUGGAGGCUCCAAGCCUCAGGAAGCUGGGGGCAAUAACAGGUCUGUGAUGCCCUUAGAUGUUCUGGGCCGCACGCGCGCUACACUGAUAAAGUCAGCGAGUUUUAUUCUUUGAAUAGUCCUUGGCCGGAAGGCCUGGGCAAUCUUGUUAAACUUUUAUCGUGCUGGGGAUAGAGCAUUGCAAU
This 761-nucleotide ribosomal RNA is filed under the name uncultured Ascomycota. Its description in RNAcentral is "SSU rRNA". It matches the Rfam family "Eukaryotic small subunit ribosomal RNA", at positions 827 to 1590 of the family's 1831-position model. The record is from RNAcentral. Lineage: Eukaryota; Fungi; Ascomycota.